This 274-nucleotide ribosomal RNA is filed under the name uncultured bacterium. RNAcentral's name for it is "partial 16S ribosomal RNA". It matches the Rfam family "Bacterial small subunit ribosomal RNA", at positions 523 to 796 of the family's 1533-position model. The record is from RNAcentral.
AUACGGAGGGUGCAAGCGUUACUCGGAAUCACUGGGCGUAAAGCGCGCGCAGGCGGUCUUUUAAGUUGGAUGUGAAAGCCUACGGCUCAACCGUAGAACUGCACCCAAAACUAUUAGACUAGAGUGUGGGAGAGGAAGAUGGAAUUAGUUGUGUAGGGGUAAAAUCCGUAGAGAUAACUAGGAAUACCAAAAGCGAAGGCAAUCUUCUGGAACACUACUGACGCUGAGGCGCGAAAGCGUGGGGAGCAAACAGGAUUAGAAACCCCGGUAGUCC